RNAcentral lists this long non-coding RNA (289 nucleotides) under Homo sapiens (human). Its description in RNAcentral is "non-protein coding LINC01152:2". The record is from RNAcentral. Lineage: Eukaryota; Metazoa; Chordata; Mammalia; Primates; Hominidae.
CCUCCCUUCCCUUCACAGGUUGCCCCAUAGUGACCCUGGAGACUCCCGCCUGCCCCCAGUGAAGGAAUUGGUUACUCUCCCAGAGCCCUCCCGGGCAUCGCCCCCUUCCUCACUUCCUCCUCUUCCUGCCCCCAGCCUCUACCCCUCCAGCCUCCUGUGGCUUCACAGGCAAGUGCCGCAUCCCAGGAAGAAGGAGUUGGAGCUCCGUGAUGCCAUUCAAAAACAGAUGAGAUGGGGACAGAUUUAACCCAAAGGACAUAGUUCAACUCCUGGUCUUGACAGAGGAGAA